This 437-nucleotide ribosomal RNA is filed under the name uncultured bacterium. Its description in RNAcentral is "partial 16S ribosomal RNA". It matches the Rfam family "Bacterial small subunit ribosomal RNA", at positions 29 to 507 of the family's 1533-position model. The record is from RNAcentral.
AGCGAACGCUGGCGGCAGGCUUAACACAUGCAAGUCGAGCGGGCAUCCUUGUGGUGUCAGCGGCAGACGGGUGAGUAACGCGUGGGAACGUGCCCUUCGGUUCGGAAUAACUCAGGGAAACUUGAGCUAAUACCGGAUACGUGCGAGAGCAGAAAGGUUUAACUGCCGAAGGAUCGGCCCGCGUCUGAUUAGCUAGUUGGUGAGGUUAUGGCUCACCAAGGCGACGAUCAGUAGCUGGUCUGAGAGGAUGAUCAGCCACACUGGGACUGAGACACGGCCCAGACUCCUACGGGAAGCAGCAGUGGGGAAUAUUGGACAAUGGGGGCAACCCUGAUCCAGCCAUGCCGCGUGAGUGAUGACGGCCUUAGGGUUGUAAAGCUCUUUUCUCCGGGACGAUAAUGACGGUACCGGAGGAAUAAGCCCCGGCUAACUUCGUG